RNAcentral lists this ribosomal RNA (274 nucleotides) under uncultured bacterium. RNAcentral's name for it is "partial 16S ribosomal RNA". It matches the Rfam family "Bacterial small subunit ribosomal RNA", at positions 523 to 796 of the family's 1533-position model. The record is from RNAcentral.
AUACGGAGGGUGCAAGCGAUAUUCGGAAUCACUGGGCGUAAAGGGUGCGUAGGCGGUUUGAUAAGUCUGAUGUGAAAUCCUAUGGCUCAACCAUAGAACUGCAUUGGAAACUGUCAGACUAGAAUACUGAAGGGGCAGAUGGAAUUAGUGGUGUAGGGGUAAAAUCCGUAGAUAUCACUAGGAAUACCGAAAGCGAAAGCGAUCUGCUGGGAAGUUAUUGACGCUGAGGCACGAAAGCGUGGGGAGCAAACGGGAUUAGAAACCCUAGUAGUCC